This 484-nucleotide ribosomal RNA is filed under the name uncultured bacterium. RNAcentral's name for it is "partial 16S ribosomal RNA". It matches the Rfam family "Bacterial small subunit ribosomal RNA", at positions 30 to 507 of the family's 1533-position model. The record is from RNAcentral.
AUUGAACGCUAGCGGGAUGCUUUACACAUGCAAGUCGAACGGCAGCGCGGACUUCGGUCUGGCGGCGAGUGGCGAACGGGUGAGUAAUGUAUCGGAACGUGCCCAGUAGCGGGGGAUAACUACGCGAAAGCGUAGCUAAUACCGCAUACGCCCUACGGGGGAAAGCAGGGGAUCGUAAGACCUUGCACUAUUGGAGCGGCCGAUAUCGGAUUAGCUAGUUGGUGAGGUAACGGCUCACCAAGGUGACGAUCCGUAGCUGGUUUGAGAGGACGACCAGCCACACUGGGACUGAGACACGGCCCAGACUCCUACGGGAGGCAGCAGUGGGGAAUUUUGGACAAUGGGGGCAACCCUGAUCCAGCCAUCCCGCGUGUGCGAUGAAGGCCUUCGGGUUGUAAAGCACUUUUGGCAGGAAAGAAACGUCGCGGGCUAAUACCCCGUGGAACUGACGGUACCUGCAGAAUAAGCACCGGCUAACUACGUG